RNAcentral lists this ribosomal RNA (492 nucleotides) under uncultured bacterium. RNAcentral's name for it is "partial 16S ribosomal RNA". It matches the Rfam family "Bacterial small subunit ribosomal RNA", at positions 29 to 507 of the family's 1533-position model. The record is from RNAcentral.
AGUGAACGCUGGCGGUAGGCCUAACACAUGCAAGUCGAACGGCAGCACAGUAAGAGCUUGCUCUUACGGGUGGCGAGUGGCGGACGGGUGAGGUAUACAUCGGAAUCUACUUUUUCGUGGGGGAUAACGUAGGGAAACUUACGCUAAUACCGCAUACGACCUACGGGUGAAAGCAGGGGAUCUUCGGACCUUGCGCGAUUGAAUGAGCCGAUGUCGGAUUAGCUAGUUGGCGGGGUAAAGGCCCACCAAGGCGACGAUCCGUAGCUGGUCUGAGAGGAUGAUCAGCCACACUGGAGCUGAGACACGGUCCAGACUCCUACGGGAGGCAGCAGUGGGGAAUAUUGGACAAUGGGCGCAAGCCUGAUCCAGCCAUACCGCGUGGGUGAAGAAGGCCUUCGGGUUGUAAAGCCCUUUUGUUGGGAAAGAAAAGCAGCAGGUUAAUACCCCGCUGUUCUGACGGUACCCAAAGAAUAAGCACCGGCUAACUUCGUG